UACAGAGGGUGCAAGCGUUAAUCGGAAUUACUGGGCGUAAAGAGCACGUAGGUGGUUAAUUAAGUUGGAUGUGAAAUCCCCGGGCUUAACCUGGGAGUGUCAUUCAAAACUGGUUGACUAGAGUACGGUAGAGGGAAGUGGAAUUUCCGGUGUAGCGGUGAAAUGCAUAGAUAUCGGAAGGAACAUCAGUGGCGAAGGCGACUUCCUGGACUGAUACUGACACUGAGGUGCGAAAGCGUGGGGAGCAAACAGG
This 253-nucleotide ribosomal RNA is filed under the name uncultured bacterium. Its description in RNAcentral is "partial 16S ribosomal RNA". It matches the Rfam family "Bacterial small subunit ribosomal RNA", at positions 524 to 776 of the family's 1533-position model. The record is from RNAcentral.